AUUACUUUGGCAGAUUAAGUGUAUUAAAUUUAGAAUUUAAAUAAUGUAUGAAAAAAAUAAAAGUUAUACAAGUAAUA
Molecule: transfer RNA, 77 nt
Filed under: Nylanderia flavipes
Lineage: Eukaryota; Metazoa; Arthropoda; Insecta; Hymenoptera; Formicidae
Description: tRNA-Leu
Source: RNAcentral